This is an RNA transcript of Ostrinia nubilalis (European corn borer), 2589 nucleotides long. It is a transcript of the gene named beta-1,3-galactosyltransferase 1-like, with no coding region annotated. The transcript has 8 exons. NCBI's taxonomy places the organism in Eukaryota, Metazoa, Arthropoda, Insecta, Lepidoptera, Crambidae. The record is from RefSeq and is a predicted model, not a curated record.
CGAAAAUUGCAUAGGUAGGUAUAUUGACAUUGACUUUGUAAUUUGGCGGGACGAGUUUGUGCAGCUUUGUGCAGUAGUUUGUUGGUGUCGUGCGGUUAGGUCGGGUGUUAGAACGUUAGUUUAAACAGUAACAUUGUUUGGUUAACCUUUCGGAGCCAAAACAUUUGGCUGGCGUUAAAAUGGCGCUAAGAUAACAAGUGACACUCGACCGGCGGCAGUCGCGACAUGCUGCGAGCAUGACCAAGAGCAGCCUGCGGGUCCUGUGGUCGCGUCUCGGUCGUCGCUACCAACAGCUGGUUCUGCUGCUGGUGGUGGUGACCGCUGCGUGCGUCCUGUCACAAGCAUGGUGGAUCUCAAGGGUCACCAGCGCGCUGCUGCCGCCAUACCCUCAGGGUCAAGACCUCCGGCAUUACAGGAGAGAUAGGAACUUGAAGCGGUACUUGGACAAUAUCCAGCUGCUGAUAGAGCCCUCGUCUUCCCACCACCCCUGUGAGGGGACCGAAGAGGUUCCCCUACUGGUGCUGGUCUCCAGUGCUCCCUCCAACCUGGACAGCAGGCAGGCCAUCCGGCAGACCUGGGCGAGACAUGUACCGACAUUUUUCGUGAUGGGCCUGGAUGGGCCAGAUGUGGAUGAAAAGCUGGUAGACAUCUACAUCGAGGCGAAGCAGUACGGCGACAUGCUGGUCUACGACUUCGCGGACCACUACCAGAACCUCACCCUCAAGACGGCGCUGAUGCUGGAGUGGUCUUCGCACCGCUGUCCUCAGGCGCAGGCGCUGUUCAAGACCGAUGAUGACGUGUUCGUCAACCCCUGGAUGUUGGGGAAGGUGGUGAAGGAGCAUGUCAAUAGUCAGCUCAUAGGGUACAAGAUCAACAACAGCCUGGUGCACCGGGACGAGUACACCAAGUGGUACCUGCCUCGCUGGCUGUACCCUGACGAGGUCAUCCCGGAGUACCUCUCUGGGACGGGGUACAUUAUCAAUGGGGAAUACAUCGAAAGAAUACUCAAAGCGGCGUACAAAGUACCUCUCAUCAAUUUAGAAGACGUUUACCUUACACACAUCGUGGCAAAGAGGACCCUGCAUUUGACCCUCUCGCACGACCGAAGGCUGAGUCCCUACAAACCCUGGAUCAGGUCUGCCUGUUCUUACUGGUGGCUGGCCACAGCCCAUAGUUUGAGUCCGGACGAGGUCAUAUCCGCAUGGUCUAGCAUUUUACCUUUGAUCAAGCAGUUCAAAAAUGGCCGCGAUGUAUGUAACCUCUUUAGGUUCCUGUCAAGUUAUAUGUUUUUAUAUUAAUUUGUGUGUUAUAGGUGAGAUUAUCAUAGGAUCUAAGGGUAAUGUAUGGGUGCUUUCAGGCACGUUUGUUUUAGGUUUGUAAACGAAGGCCAUUAUGCGUCAGGAACGUGUAUUAUGUUAGGUUAAGCAAAUAGAAACCAGAAAUCAAUAUUGUUGAUGUAUCUUUUUAAUAAGUGUUUGUUGUGGAAGAACGGGGUCCCGUAGCACUAGUAGGUAGAAUACUUAAAAGGACACCUACCUAGCAUAAGUAUUAGUAUACAAGAAAUAAGAUACAGAUUACAGAGUAAUCAUUAUUGAAUUUUGCAUUUGACCAACAUUUCUAAGGUAACUGAUAGAAGAUUGUAGUCUAGUAGUUUUGAGUGGCAUAAUGUAACUAAAACGACAGAGUAUAGAAGUGCUCCGUCAAGGCACUCACAAAGUUAAGAUUUUAUCGGCACACAUCCUUUAUCUGAUAUUUUGACAUUAUUGUUUUGGACUUUAUAGUCCACUAGCUUUUGCCCACGGCUUCACCCGCGUGAAAUUACGUUUGUCACAGAUCGUCAUAAAUUAUAGCCUAUAUGAUAUUCUGGGUUAUAAACAGUAAUACUGUAAAGUUUCAUCAAAAUCCGUUCAGUAGUUUAUGCGUGAAAGAUUAACAAACAUCUAAACUUUCGCAAUAAUAAUAUUAGGUAGUAAGAUAUUUUCACUACUUAAAGGACUCGCAUCAUGUUGGUAAAGUUGGAUAACCUAUUAAAUCGAUUCAACUUGUCAUAUCUUUGUUCAAUACCCAAUGAUUGGCGUUUUGUAGUUACUCGUAUUAUGGGUUUACCAGUCGCAUGUUUUGGCAGACUAGGAUGUUUCAGUUAGGCCUAAUGUAAAAUUAACACGAAUGUCCUUGGCUUGUUUAAUUACAUUCAUUAAUAUGCACAAAGAGACCAUAUUAGCAUGUUUGAUGUAGGCUGAUCAUUCCAUUAUUUGAUAAUUACAAAAUUAUAAUAACUCUUAUUACCUAAUUAAAAUGAAAAGGUAGAGCGUAUUAAUAAUUUCUUUCUAGAUUAAGACUAGGCGCAGACCACCGAUUUUUAGUUGGCCGAUAGUUGGGCCCGAUUUUAAUUUGUAUGAAGAAUCGGCCAAAUCGAAUCGGCGUAAUGUGCGCACUUCCAUACAUGCUCAUACUGAUCAACUGCCCGACUAAACUAUCGGCCGACGAAAAAUCGAUGGUCUGCGCCUAGGCUAACGCCGCCGUUUCUUUAUGGACGUCGUACAUUUAUUUUAUCAACCUGGAAAGGGAUCGUAACCGUAUCAACUCGAG